UUUACCUGUGUGACUGCGUACCUUUUGUAUAAUGGGUCAGCGACUUAUAUUCUGUAGCAAGGUUAACCGAAUAGGGGAGCCGGAGGGAAACCGAGUCUUAACCGGGCGUUAAGUUGCAGGGUAUAGACCCGAAACCCGGUGAUCUAGCCAUGGGCAGGUUGAAGGUUGGGUAACACUAACUGGAGGACCGAACCGACUAAUGUUGAAAAAUUAGCGGAUGACCUGUGGCUGGGGGUGAAAGGCCAAUCAAACCGGGAGAUAGCUGGUUCUCCCCGAAAGCUAUUUAGGUAGCGCCUCGUGAAUUCAUCUCCGGGGGUAGAGCACUGUUUCGGCUAGGGGGCCAUCCCGGCUUACCAACCCGAUGCAAACUGCGAAUACCGGAGAAUGUUAUCACGGGAGACACACGGCGGGUGCUAACGUCCGUCGUGAAGAGGGAAACAACCCAGACCGCCAGCUAAGGUCCCAAAGUCAUGGUUAAGUGGGAAACGAUGUGGGAAGGCCCAGACAGCCAGGAUGUUGGCUUAGAAGCAGCCAUCAUUUAAAGAAAGCGUAAUAGCUCACUGGUCGAGUCGGCCUGCGCGGAAGAUGUAACGGGGCUAAACCAU
Molecule: ribosomal RNA, 605 nt
Filed under: Salmonella enterica subsp. enterica serovar Muenchen
Lineage: Bacteria; Pseudomonadati; Pseudomonadota; Gammaproteobacteria; Enterobacterales; Enterobacteriaceae
Description: partial 23S ribosomal RNA
Rfam family: Bacterial large subunit ribosomal RNA
Source: RNAcentral